CCUACGGUGAGCUGCAGUGAGGAAUAUUGGUCCAUGGGCGUUAGCCUGAACCAGCCAAGUCGCGGGAGGGAUGAAGGUUCUAUGGAACGUAACCCUCUUUUAUAAGGGAAUAAAGUGCGGGACGGGUACCGUUUUGUAUGUACCUUAUGAAUAAGGAUCGGCUAACUCCGUGCCAGCAGCCGCGGUAAUCCGGAGGAUACGAGCGUUAUGCGGCUGUAGUGGGUUUAAGGGGUGCGUAGGCGGCCUUUUACGUCAGCGGUGAAAGUCUGUGGCUCAACCAUUGAAUUGCCGUUGAAACGGGGAGGCUUGAGUAUGUUUGAGGCAGGCAGAAUGCGUGG
RNAcentral lists this ribosomal RNA (338 nucleotides) under uncultured bacterium. Its description in RNAcentral is "partial 16S ribosomal RNA". It matches the Rfam family "Bacterial small subunit ribosomal RNA", at positions 338 to 673 of the family's 1533-position model. The record is from RNAcentral.